AGGUUCCUACGGGGGGCAGCAGUAGGGAAUCUUCCACAAUGGGCGAAAGCCUGAUGGGGCAACGCCGCGUGGGUGAAGAAGGUCUUCGGAUCGUAAAACCCUGUUGUUAGAGAAGAAAGUGCGUGAGAGUAACUGUUCACGUUUCGACGGUAUCUAACCAGAAAGCCACGGCCAACUACGUGCCAGCAGCCGUGGUAAUACGUAAGUGGCAAGCGUUAUCCGGAUUUAUUGGGCGUAAAGGGAACGCAGGCGGUCUUUUAAGUCUGAUGCGGAAGCCUUCGGCUUAACCGGAGUAG
Molecule: ribosomal RNA, 296 nt
Filed under: uncultured bacterium
Lineage: Bacteria
Description: partial 16S ribosomal RNA
Rfam family: Bacterial small subunit ribosomal RNA
Source: RNAcentral